RNAcentral lists this ribosomal RNA (714 nucleotides) under Bacillus sp. BCT9. RNAcentral describes it as "bacterial SSU rRNA". It matches the Rfam family "Bacterial small subunit ribosomal RNA", at positions 610 to 1324 of the family's 1533-position model. Lineage: Bacteria; Bacillati; Bacillota; Bacilli; Caryophanales; Bacillaceae. The record is from RNAcentral.
CAACCGGGGAGGGUCAUUGGAAACUGGGGAACUUGAGUGCAGAAGAGGAGAGUGGAAUUCCACGUGUAGCGGUGAAAUGCGUAGAGAUGUGGAGGAACACCAGUGGCGAAGGCGACUCUCUGGUCUGUAACUGACGCUGAGGAGCGAAAGCGUGGGGAGCGAACAGGAUUAGAUACCCUGGUAGUCCACGCCGUAAACGAUGAGUGCUAAGUGUUAGGGGGUUUCCGCCCCUUAGUGCUGCAGCUAACGCAUUAAGCACUCCGCCUGGGGAGUACGGUCGCAAGACUGAAACUCAAAGGAAUUGACGGGGGCCCGCACAAGCGGUGGAGCAUGUGGUUUAAUUCGAAGCAACGCGAAGAACCUUACCAGGUCUUGACAUCCUCUGACAAUCCUAGAGAUAGGACGUCCCCUUCGGGGGCAGAGUGACAGGUGGUGCAUGGUUGUCGUCAGCUCGUGUCGUGAGAUGUUGGGUUAAGUCCCGCAACGAGCGCAACCCUUGAUCUUAGUUGCCAGCAUUCAGUUGGGCACUCUAAGGUGACUGCCGGUGACAAACCGGAGGAAGGUGGGGAUGACGUCAAAUCAUCAUGCCCCUUAUGACCUGGGCUACACACGUGCUACAAUGGACAGAACAAAGGGCAGCGAAACCGCGAGGUUAAGCCAAUCCCACAAAUCUGUUCUCAGUUCGGAUCGCAGUCUGCAACUCGACUGCGUGAA